Molecule: ribosomal RNA, 505 nt
Filed under: uncultured bacterium
Lineage: Bacteria
Description: partial 16S ribosomal RNA
Rfam family: Bacterial small subunit ribosomal RNA
Source: RNAcentral
GACGAACGCUGGCGGCGUGCCUAAUACAUGCAAGUCGAACGCACAGUUUAUACCGUAGCUUGCUACACCAUAGACUGUGAGUUGCGAACGGGUGAGUAACGCGUAGGUAACCUGCCUGGUAGCGGGGGAUAACUAUUGGAAACGAUAGCUAAUACCGCAUAAUAUUAAUUAUUGCAUGAUAAUUAAUUGAAAGGUGCAAUUGCACCACUACCAGAUGGACCUGCGUUGUAUUAGCUAGUAGGUGAGGUAACGGCUCACCUAGGCGACGAUACAUAGCCGACCUGAGAGGGUGAUCGGCCACACUGGGACUGAGACACGGCCCAGACUCCUACGGGAGGCAGCAGUAGGGAAUCUUCGGCAAUGGACGAAAGUCUGACCGAGCAACGCCGCGUGAGGGAAGAAGGGUUUCGGAUCGUAAAGCUCUGUUGUAAGAGAAGAACGGGUGUGAGAGUGGAAAGUUCACACUGUGACGGUAUCUUACCAGAAAGGGACGGCUAACUACGUG